CAGCAGCCGCGGUAAUACAGAGGGUGCGAGCGUUAAUCGGAUUUACUGGGCGUAAAGCGUGCGUAGGCGGCUUUUUAAGUCGGAUGUGAAAUCCCUGAGCUUAACUUAGGAAUUGCAUUCGAUACUGGGAAGCUAGAGUAUGGGAGAGGAUGGUAGAAUUCCAGGUGUAGCGGUGAAAUGCGUAGAGAUCUGGAGGAAUACCGAUGGCGAAGGCAGCCAUCUGGCCUAAUACUGACGCUGAGGUACGAAAGCAUGGGGAGCAAACAGGAUUAGAUACCCCUGUAGUCCCUGUCUCUUAUGC
RNAcentral lists this ribosomal RNA (301 nucleotides) under uncultured bacterium. RNAcentral describes it as "partial 16S ribosomal RNA". It matches the Rfam family "Bacterial small subunit ribosomal RNA", at positions 509 to 809 of the family's 1533-position model. The record is from RNAcentral.